This 1236-nucleotide ribosomal RNA is filed under the name Oriensubulitermes inanis. RNAcentral describes it as "16S ribosomal RNA". The stretch from base 790 to 1158 matches the Rfam family "Archaeal large subunit ribosomal RNA", at positions 2151 to 2715 of the family's 2987-position model. The record is from RNAcentral. Lineage: Eukaryota; Metazoa; Arthropoda; Insecta; Blattodea; Termitidae.
AUGCUGAUUGUCUUGUUUUAAUUUUGUUGAUUAUAUUUAUUUGUUAAUUAAAAUAUUAUUUUGUUGUUGUAUUGUUUUGAUUUAAUUAUUUUACUAUAGUUUAUUUGUACUGUGAAGGGUUGAAAUGGGUAAAUGUUUUUUUGGAAGUUGAUUUUGUUUGUCGUACCUUGUGUAUCAGGGUUCAUUGAAUUUUAUUAUUUAUUUUUAUUUCCCGAUUUUAAAGGAGUUAAUGGCUUAUGUUAGUUACUGUUUUAUUAGUAUUAAUAAUAAGUGGUUGGAAGUGAAAUGUUAUUCGUCUUUAGUGGUUUCUGGUUUUUCAAGAAAUGAAUUUAAUUCAUGCAUUUUAUUUAAUUUUUGUUAUUGAUUCAUUUAUUUUUAUUUGAUGUUAAGAUUAAGGGGGAUUAGCUCCUUAUUUUAUUUUUAUAAUUGGCUUAUUAUUAAUUUAGUUUUGUGGAUUUUAUGGUGAUUUUCUAUUUGAUUAUGUUAAAAUUUUAUUUAUUCUUUUUUUUAUUUUAUUUUAUUUAAAUUGUUUAUUGAAAUGUUUGUUGUUAUUUUGGUUUACUUAGUAAUUAUUGUGUAAUUAGUAAAUUGUAUUUAUUGUGUUGUAUAGUGACUGUGUGUUAAUUGCUUUUUAGGAAUUAGGCAAAAUUUAUGUCCGCCUGUUUAACAAAAACAUCUUUNNNNNNNNNNNNNNNNNNNNUCUGGUAUGAAUGGCUUGACGAGACAUAAGCUGUCUUAGGAGUAUUGUUUAUUGAAUUUGGUUUUUGAGUUAAAAUUCUUAAAUGUUUUUAUGGGACGAGAAGACCCUAUAGAGUUUAACAUUUUUCUUAUUUAUUUAUUGUUUGUUUUACGUUAUUUAUUGAGUGGGAAUGAUUGUUUUGUUGGGGUGAUGGGAGGAAUAAAAUUUAACUCCUCUUUAUUUUAUAUAUUUAUUUAUAUUUCUUUGAUCCAUUUAUUUUGAUUAUAAGAUUAAAUUACCUUAGGGAUAACAGCGUUAUCUCCCUUGAGAGUUCUUAUUGGCGGGGAGGUUUGCGACCUCGAUGUUGGAUUAAGGUUAAUUUUCGGUGCAGGAGCUGAAAUGAUUAGGUCUGUUCGACCUUUAAAAUCUUACAUGAUCUGAGUUCAAACCGGCGUGAGCCAGGUUGGUUUCUAUCUAUAGAGUUAUAUUUAUAUCUUAGUACGAGAGGACCGGAUAUUCGGAAUAAUUUCGUUUGUUAAAUUGGAUUUUGUUAAUUU